AUUGAACGCUGGCGGAAUGCUUUACACAUGCAGGUCGAGCGGCAGCACGGGGGCAACCCUGGUGGCGAGCGGCGAACGGGUGAGUAAUACAUUGGAACAUGCCCAGUCGUGGGGGAUAACACUUCGAAAGAAGUGCUAAUACCGCAUACGUCCUGAGGGGGAAAGCGGGGGAUCGCAAGACCUCGCGCGAUUGGAGUGGCCGAUGUCAGAUUAGCUAGUUGGUGGGGUAAAGGCCUACCAAGGCAACGAUCUGUAGCUGGUCUGAGAGGAUGAUCAGCCACACUGGGACUGAGACACGGCCCAGACUCCUACGGGAGGCAGCAGUGGGGAAUUUUGGACAAUGGGGGCAACCCUGAUCCAGCCAUUCCGCGUGAGUGAAGAAGGCCUUCGGGUUGUAAAGCUCUUUCGGCAGGAACGAAACGGUGAGCUCUAACAUAGCUUGCUAAUGACGGUACCUGAAGAAGAAGCACCGGCUAACUACGUG
RNAcentral lists this ribosomal RNA (484 nucleotides) under uncultured bacterium. Its description in RNAcentral is "partial 16S ribosomal RNA". It matches the Rfam family "Bacterial small subunit ribosomal RNA", at positions 30 to 507 of the family's 1533-position model. The record is from RNAcentral.